Molecule: ribosomal RNA, 369 nt
Filed under: uncultured bacterium
Lineage: Bacteria
Description: bacterial SSU rRNA
Rfam family: Bacterial small subunit ribosomal RNA
Source: RNAcentral
AGCGAACGCUGGCGGCAGGCCUAAUACAUGCAAGUCGAACGGAUCCUUCGGGAUUAGUGGCGGACGGGUGAGUAACACGUGGGAACGUGCCCUUUGGUUCGGAACAACUCAGGGAAACUUGAGCUAAUACCGGAUAAGCCCUUCGGGGAAGGAUUUAUCGCCAUUGGAGCGGCCCGCGUCUGAUUAGCUAGUUGGUGGGGUAAAGGCCUACCAAGGCGACGAUCAGUAGCUGGUCUGAGAGGANGAUCAGCCACACUGGGACUGAGACACGGCCCAGACUCCUACGGGAGGCAGCAGUAGGGAAUCUUGCGCAAUGGGCGAAAGCCUGACGCAGCCAUGCCGCGUGAAUGAUGAAGGUCUUAGGAUUAG